Molecule: ribosomal RNA, 253 nt
Filed under: uncultured bacterium
Lineage: Bacteria
Description: partial 16S ribosomal RNA
Rfam family: Bacterial small subunit ribosomal RNA
Source: RNAcentral
UACGAGGGGGGCGAGCGUUGUUCGGAAUUAUUGGGCGUAAAGGGUGCGUAGGCGGUUUGGUAAGUCUCUUGUGAAAUCUAUGGGCUCAACUCAUAGUCUGCAAGGGAAACUGCCGGGCUUGAGUGUGGGAGAGGUGAGUGGAAUUUCCGGUGUAGCAGUGAAAUGCGUAGAUAUGUGGCGGAACACCGAUGGCGAAGGCAGCCCCCUGGGCUGAGAUUGACGCUCAGGCACGAAAGCGUGGGGAGCAAACAGG